RNAcentral lists this ribosomal RNA (350 nucleotides) under Thalassiosira gravida. RNAcentral's name for it is "partial Bacterial small subunit ribosomal RNA". It matches the Rfam family "Bacterial small subunit ribosomal RNA", at positions 1183 to 1532 of the family's 1533-position model. The record is from RNAcentral. Lineage: Eukaryota; Bacillariophyta; Thalassiosirophyceae; Thalassiosirales; Thalassiosiraceae.
CGUCAAGUCAUCAUGGCCCUUACGACCAGGGCUACACACGUGCUACAAUGGUAGGUACAGAGGGCAGCUACACAGCGAUGUGAUGCGAAUCUCAAAAAGCCUAUCGUAGUCCAGAUUGGAGUCUGCAACUCGACUCCAUGAAGUCGGAAUCGCUAGUAAUCGCGGAUCAGAAUGCCGCGGUGAAUACGUUCCCGGGCCUUGUACACACCGCCCGUCACACCAUGGAAGCUGGUUAUACCCGAAGUCAUUACUCUAACCAUUCGGAGGAGGGUGCCUAAGGUAGAAUUAGUGACUGGGGUGAAGUCGUAACAAGGUAACCGUACUGGAAGGUGCGGUUGGAUCACCUCCUU